This 407-nucleotide ribosomal RNA is filed under the name uncultured bacterium. Its description in RNAcentral is "partial 16S ribosomal RNA". It matches the Rfam family "Bacterial small subunit ribosomal RNA", at positions 28 to 526 of the family's 1533-position model. The record is from RNAcentral.
GACGAACGCUGGCGGCGUGCCUAAUACAUGCAAGUCGAACGGAGUGGCGGACGGGUGAGUAAUAUAUCGGAACGUGCCUAGUAGCGGGGGAUAACUACUCGAAAGAGUGGCUAAUACCGCAUACUAUUGGAGCGGCCGAUAUGGGAUUAGCUAGUUGGGGGGGUAAAGGCUCACCAAGGCAACGAUCCGUAGCUGGUCUGAGAGGACGACCAGCCACACUGGGACUGUGCAAAGGUCCAGACUCCUACGGGAGGCAGCAGUGGGGAAUAUUGGACAAUGGGCGCAAGCCUGAUACAGCCAUGCCGCGGGUGUGAAGAAGGGCUUCGGGUUGUAAAUCACUUUCGGCGAGGAAGCGUUACUUGCAGAAGAAGCACCGGCUAACUCCGUGCCAGCAGCCGCGGUAAUAC